GGUUUUUUACUGAUCACUUUCACCACCAAGCUGAGUUAUUGUGAGAAACAGACGCAAAAUCGCAAGAUGAUUAAUGCACAUUGGAGAGUAAAACGCGCCACUAACUGCUCCACUGGGGUCAUAACAGAAAACAAUACCAGAGAACCAGAUCUACCCGCAAGAUAUACAGAGAAGGAGCUGGAUUUAUGUUUGGAUAAGGAAGUGCUGUCUAAAAAGCUUUCUGAACUGGGAAAUAUAGCUUUUAGUACUCCUCAACUUAA
Long non-coding RNA from Hypanus sabinus (Atlantic stingray), 260 nucleotides. RefSeq lists it as uncharacterized. The record is from RefSeq and is a predicted model, not a curated record. The transcript is spliced from 3 exons. NCBI's taxonomy places the organism in Eukaryota, Metazoa, Chordata, Chondrichthyes, Myliobatiformes, Dasyatidae.